This 433-nucleotide ribosomal RNA is filed under the name uncultured bacterium. Its description in RNAcentral is "partial 16S ribosomal RNA". It matches the Rfam family "Bacterial small subunit ribosomal RNA", at positions 29 to 507 of the family's 1533-position model. The record is from RNAcentral.
AGCGAACGCUGGCGGCAGGCCUAACACACGCAAGUCGAACGGAUCCUUCGGGAUUAGUGGCGGACGGGUGAGUAACACGUGGGAACGUGCCCUUUGGUUCGGAACAACUCAGGGAAACUUGAGCUAAUACCGGAUGUGCCCUUCGGGGGAAAGAUUUAUCGCCAUUGGAGCGGCCCGCGUCUGAUUAGCUAGUUGGUGAGGUAACGGCCCACCAAGGCGACGAUCAGUAGCUGGUCUGAGAGGAUGAUCAGCCACACUGGGACUGAGACACGGCCCAGACUCCUACGGGAGGCAGCAGUGGGGAAUCUUGCGCAAUGGGCGAAAGCCUGACGCAGCCAUGCCGCGUGAAUGAUGAAGGUCUUAGGAUUGUAAAAUUCUUUCAGCGGGGACGAUAAUGACGGUACCCGCAGAAGAAGCUCCGGCUAACUUCGUG